RNAcentral lists this transfer RNA (76 nucleotides) under Klebsiella pneumoniae. Its description in RNAcentral is "tRNA-Glu". It matches the Rfam family "tRNA". Rfam says of the family: Transfer RNA (tRNA) molecules are approximately 80 nucleotides in length. Their secondary structure includes four short double-helical elements and three loops (D, anti-codon, and T loops). The record is from RNAcentral. Lineage: Bacteria; Pseudomonadati; Pseudomonadota; Gammaproteobacteria; Enterobacterales; Enterobacteriaceae.
GUCCCCUUCGUCUAGAGGUUCAGGACACCGCCCUUUCACGGCGGUAACAGGGGUUCGAAUCCCCUAGGGGACGCCA